Molecule: long non-coding RNA, 517 nt
Filed under: Ananas comosus (pineapple)
Lineage: Eukaryota; Viridiplantae; Streptophyta; Magnoliopsida; Poales; Bromeliaceae
Description: long non-coding RNA (ACOM_LNC006030)
Source: RNAcentral
GAAAGCAGAAAUUAAUGUACACUCCUCACUACAACAGAAUUAGGUUAUAAGGACACAUGUUUGGGACACUUUUGAGUAAGUGUUCCAUUUAUGCUAAAAUUUAAAAGCACAUCUACUAAUGCCUAAAUAUAAAGCUCAAUCCACCACAUCCAGUCCAUUUGGUCCGAUUACAAACAGAAAAAAAAAGAAAAAUCAAUUACCAUCUUUUCUUCUCUUUUCACUCAAUUUACUGAAAUUCUAGAUGAAGAGCCUUUACUGUCGUCCUCCUCUGCCAUCGCAGCCAACGAGAUAGAGUUUCGGCGGUUGCUAAAUGCUUAAAUAAGUGUUGGUAAAUUAGCAGCACUCUUUUAGGUUAUAGCGACACUCUUUAACUGUCACUAUAUACCUAGCGACCCCACAUAUAGCAACACUUUUUAAAAGUGUCGGUAAUUUUAGCUAGCAGCACUUUUUUGACAUGUACCUACAUUUAAAAGUGUCGCUAUAGACCGUUUUUGUUGUUCCUAAAUGCUAUAAGUAU